UAUUUUAUCGCAUGAUAGAUAUAUCAAAGCGUUAGCGGUACAGGAUGGACCCGCGUCUGAUUAGCUAGUUGGUAAGGUAAAGGCUUACCAAGGCGACGAUCAGUAGCCGACCUGAGAGGGUGAUCGGCCACAUUGGAACUGAGACACGGUCCAAACUCNUACGGGAGGCAGCAGUGGGGAAUAUUGCACAAUGGGCGAAAGCCUGAUGCAGCAACGCCGCGUGAGCGAAGAAGGCCUUCGGGUCGUAAAGCUCUGUCCUCAAGGAAGAUAAUGACGGUACUUGAGGAGGAAGCCCCGGCUAACUACGUGCCAGCAGCCGCGGUAAUACGUAGGGGGCAAGCGUUAUCCGGACUUACUGGGCGUAAAGGGUGCGUAGGCGGUCUUACAAGUCCAGGAGUGAAAGGCUACGGCUCCAACCGUAGUAAGCUUUUGAAACUGUUAGACUUGAGUGCAGGAGAGGAGAGUGGAAUUCCUAGUGUAGCGGUGAAAUGCGUAGAUAUUAGGAGGAACACCAGUUGCGAAGGCGGCUCUCUGGACUGUAACUGACGCUGAGGCACGAAAGCGUGGGGAGCAAACAGGAUUAGAUACCCUGGUAGUCCCACGCUGUAAACGAUGAGUACUAGCUGUCCGGAGGUUACCCCCUUCGGUGGCGCAGCUAACGCAUUAAGUACUCCGCCUGGGAAGUACGCCCGCAAGAGUGAAACUCAAAGGAAUUGACCGGGGACCCGCACAAGUAGCGGAGCAUGUGGUUUAAUUCGAAGCAACGCGAAGAACCUUACCCUAAGCUUGACAUCCUACUGACCCUUCCCUAAUCGGAAGUUUCCCUUUGGGGACAGUAGAGACAGGUGGUGCAUGGUUGUC
This 861-nucleotide ribosomal RNA is filed under the name uncultured bacterium. RNAcentral's name for it is "bacterial SSU rRNA". It matches the Rfam family "Bacterial small subunit ribosomal RNA", at positions 179 to 1053 of the family's 1533-position model. The record is from RNAcentral.